This 30-nucleotide non-coding RNA is filed under the name Mus musculus (house mouse). The record is from RNAcentral. Lineage: Eukaryota; Metazoa; Chordata; Mammalia; Rodentia; Muridae.
UAAACUUCUAACCCUGAGCAAAGAGUCACC